Molecule: non-coding RNA, 118 nt
Filed under: Corynebacterium falsenii
Lineage: Bacteria; Bacillati; Actinomycetota; Actinomycetes; Mycobacteriales; Corynebacteriaceae
Description: SAM-IV sequence
Rfam family: SAM (S-adenosyl methionine) riboswitch aptamer
About the family: SAM-IV is a mRNA element that regulates gene expression via direct sensing of S-adenosylmethionine (SAM or AdoMet). SAM-IV riboswitches share conserved nucleotide positions with the previously described SAM-I riboswitches sequence analysis and molecular recognition experiments suggest that SAM-I and SAM-IV riboswitches share similar ligand binding sites, but have different scaffolds.
Source: Rfam by way of RNAcentral
GAUCAAGAAGUUCAACCACAAGCCCCUUGGCUGGUUGGCUGGCAACCGCGUGACGAACACGGUGCCCCCAAGGGAAGAUCGGCCUUCUGUUGCACAAGCCCAGAAGGAAGCUCGUUUC